CCCCGCUUAGCUCAAUCGCAGAGCGCGUGGCUGUAGACCACGAGGUUGCUGGUUCAAAUCCGGCAGCGGGGA
RNAcentral lists this transfer RNA (72 nucleotides) under Candidatus Woesearchaeota archaeon. RNAcentral's name for it is "tRNA-Tyr". It matches the Rfam family "tRNA". Rfam says of the family: Transfer RNA (tRNA) molecules are approximately 80 nucleotides in length. Their secondary structure includes four short double-helical elements and three loops (D, anti-codon, and T loops). Lineage: Archaea; Nanobdellati; Candidatus Woesearchaeota. The record is from RNAcentral.